Molecule: long non-coding RNA, 1706 nt
Organism: Pogoniulus pusillus (Red-fronted tinkerbird)
Lineage: Eukaryota; Metazoa; Chordata; Aves; Piciformes; Lybiidae
Exons: 3
Source: RefSeq, a predicted model, not a curated record
GAGAGGGUCAGUAAGGAAAUGAUGAAAACCGCUGACAUCAAGAGAGGUCCCUGAUUGUUCCAGGAGCUGCAGUUUAUCCAAGUGUUCUCAGACCAGAUUUGUUCUUCCUCUACAAGACUCUCUUCUAUUUACUGCUGGGUUGCUCCUUUCAAUCCCAAAGAUACUGGACAACUGUGACGAGCUCCUGUAUUGGGUUUGGGCUGAGCUGGCGUUAAUUCUCCUCAAAGCAUCUUUCUAGUGCUGUGCUUUGCAUUGCUACAGCUGAGUGCUGACAACACAGCAGUGUUUGGCUACUGCUGAGCUGAGCACCAAGUCUGUGCUUUUCCAACAUUUCCCUGCCCUGAGAGCCUGAGGGUGUCGUGGUAGCCCCAAAUAGGCCAAAAUAGGCUUAUACAUGUCCUGGCUUGCCCAAACAUGUUUUUCUGCUCUCUCUUCCUCUGUUUUGGGGAGAAGCAACUGCAGGAAAGAGGACAAAGAACCCGAAGCCACUGAGUCUAAGCAUUCUGGCUUGCCCAGACUUGUUUUGCUCCUGUUUAUAUCCUGUGGUAAACAAGGUAGACACACUUGACUUGUGCCUGCCUUGUGCAAGGCCUGUGUUUUCCCCAAAUUUGGGUAAAACAAGCCUAUGACUUCACCUAAUAUGGUCAGACUUGGCUAACUGCCAUUCUGAUUGGCUAUUCUAUGUCCAAAGGCCCAUUCAUCACGCUACUGAUAAAAACAGAUGAGUAGGUAACACAACGUGCUCUGCCAUUGUAUUCAUGCCUGCUGUUACCUGCUGCUAUUGCUCUCUGCUCCUGACAGUAUACUGCUUUACUGCCUUAUUGCCAUGCUCUGCUACAAAGUAACAAACCCUGAUACUUGGGAUUUAUUUGCCUGGAAACUUCCUGCUUGGAGUUUACCAGGAACAGGCAUAAAUGCCUCCAUGCAAUCGGCCUGCAUGGCCAGAGUGACAUUGUGCUAAGACUGCACAUUGCAAGACAUCCUGCCUACACCUGAAAGUCUCCUGCCAAGUCAGGAAGUCCUGGAGAUACACAGAGGAACCAGGACCAGGUCAGAGAUAGUCUGCCUCCUUUCCCUAGCACCUUGUGAAGCCUGAGAAGAAUCAGAAGCCUCAGUGGCUGACGAGACAGUAACAGAAUUCCCUGAAAGCAUUUGGGUACUGCCUGAAAUAGUAUCUGGCCCUGCCAAUUGGGAGAUUCAUAUUUGUGAGUAAAAACUUAAAGCCUCCUGUAAUUCACCAUUGUCUUCUGCCAUAAGCAGAGUUCAUCUAGUGGAGAAGCAGCAUAGUUAAUUAACCACAAGCAGUGUGUUGACCGCAGGAAACUUCUCUUCCAGCUUAACUGAGUUCAAUUCAUGUUAUAUUAUUGGUAGUUAUUUCUGAAUUUUCUACAUCCUGUGUUAUCAUAUGUGUAAUGUUUCCAUGACUGUACAAAGAGCCAAUCGUUAUUAAGCAGUAGUGGUUGGGUGGCAAGAGUUCUGAAUACCAAAAUUAAUAAAUGAUAUUAAUUUUGAAAAAUCAUAGCUCACAUCAAUUAAUUACCCCUCCAUUACAGAGGGGACACAGCAGAGCCAGCUGACCCAAACUGGCCAAAGGGAUAUUCAUAGAAUCAUAGAAUCAACCAGGUUGGAAGAGACCUCCAAGAUCAUCGAGUCCAACCUAGCACCCAGCCCUAGCCAGUCAACUAGACCAUGGCACUGAGUGCCUC